UGCACCAGCAGUCGAACAAGGCUCUCCAAAUGAUCAACAGGGAAGGUGUAUGCUCACUUGGACUUUUCAUGCAUGCUUGGUGAGAUUCUCACCUUCUUCUGAGAGCCUAAUAUUUAGGGGCUAACAUUUGUGUACUCUACAAGUUAUAAAUUGAGCUAAAUGUAUUACAAAAUAUUUUAGGUGA
This is a non-coding RNA of Prunus avium (sweet cherry), 184 nucleotides long. The record is from RefSeq and is a predicted model, not a curated record. Lineage: Eukaryota; Viridiplantae; Streptophyta; Magnoliopsida; Rosales; Rosaceae.